This 815-nucleotide ribosomal RNA is filed under the name uncultured bacterium. Its description in RNAcentral is "bacterial SSU rRNA". It matches the Rfam family "Bacterial small subunit ribosomal RNA", at positions 8 to 796 of the family's 1533-position model. The record is from RNAcentral.
AGAGUUUGAUCCUGGCUCAGAACGAACGCUGGCGGCGUGGAUAAGACAUGCAAGUCGAGCGCUAAUUACAGGGUAGCAAUAUUCUGUAGUUGGAGCGGCGCAAGGGUGCGUAACACGUGGGUAAUCUGCCAUGAAGUUUGGGAUAACUCGCUGAAAGGCGAGCUAAUACCGGAUGUGACGAUUGGAAGGCAUCUUCUGAUCUUUAAAGUUGGGGAUCGUAAGACCUGACGCUUCAUGAUGAGCCCGCGGCCUAUCAGCUAGUUGGUGAGGUAACGGCUCACCAAGGCUAAGACGGGUAGCUGGUCUGAGAGGACGACCAGCCACACUGGAACUGAGACACGGUCCAGACACCUACGGGUGGCAGCAGUCGAGAAUUUUUCACAAUGGGGGAAACCCUGAUGGAGCGACGCCGCGUGGGGGAUGAAUGGCUUCGGCCCGUAAACCCCUGUCAUUCGCGAACAAAUUGGUUCAAUUAACACCUGAACCAUUGAUUGUAGCGAAAGAGGAAGGGACGGCUAACUCUGUGCCAGCAGCCGCGGUAAUACAGAGGUCCCAAGCGUUGUUCGGAUUCACUGGGCGUAAAGGGUGCGUAGGUGGUGGGGUAAGUCUGAUGUGAAAUCUUCGAGCUUAACUCGGAAAUGGCAUUGGAAACUACUCUGCUGGAGGGUUGGAGGGGGGACUGGAAUUCUCGGUGUAGCAGUGAAAUGCGUAGAUAUCGAGAGGAACACCAGUGGCGAAGGCGAGUCCCUGGACAACUCCUGACGCUGAGGCACGAAAGCUAGGGGAGCAAACAGGAUUAGAUACCCUAGUAGUCC